GUAAACCAUUCACGGGAUGGGGGUGGGGGGCAUACAUAGUGAGGCAAAUAUUUGGGAGUGCAAAAUAUUUUGAGAUAGGGCAUAAAUUUUGGGAGGGGAGUGAAAAUUUGGGGCCAGAUAUUUUGGCGAUAUAAGGAGUUGGGAGGUUAUUUUGUGGCUGUAUAUGAAAUUGAUUCGUCCAUUGCAUGCAAUUCUCAUCUCCCUGCUAUAGGAACGGAUGUUGUGAAAAAUGAAAGGUUUCUGAAAGAUUUACAAGGGUAUUACGAGGUUUGGAAUGUUUGCGGUGUAGGGAGGAGGCUGAAUAGGCUGGGGUAAUUUUCCCUGGAGCAUCGGAGGCUGAUGGAUGACUUCAUAAUGGUUUAGAAAAUCAUGAGUGAUUUUCUAAGGACACGAUGAAUAACAAACUUGUUUUCCCCAAGGCAGGGUAGUUCAAACUCAGACACAGGCUCAAGUUGAAAUGAAAAAGAUUUAUAAGGAACUGAAGGGGCAGCUCUGUCAUGCAGAGGAUGGUGUGUGUAUUGAACAAGCUACCAGAGGGAAUGAUGGAGGCAGAUACAAAUGACAUUUAAAAGGCAUCUGGAUGGGAAUACGAACAGGAUAGAUUCGGAGGGACAUAGGCCAAGUGCUGGCCAAUAGGACAAGAUUAAUUUAGGAUAUCUGGUCGCCAUGGGCGAGUUAGAUCAAAGGGUCUGUUCCUGUGCUGUACAAAUAUGACUCUAUGACAAAUAUGGAGACAUGCUGAUACAUUUCCAGGCAGAAGCAAACCUGAGGUGAGAAUGCGUGUGAGAAACUAUCGAGAGAGCUGGGAACAAUGGAAUAAACACUCAGAAGAAUUUGAUUUUAAAGGAGACUUACGGAGGGUUCCAAGCUGAGAGGAAUUAUUUAGCAGGAAAUUCCAUUUCUUAAGCACAAUCCAAAGGAAUUGUCCAUGAUGGAGAAUCCACAGGUUUCCAAGUUAAACUCUCUCCUUGCACUGGUAUAAGGAUUCUGUGUCGGGAUGUGAUGAAAUAUCCUGCACUUGCCUGGAUUAGUGCAGCUACAACAAACACUCGAAGCUUGACACCAGCCUGUUUGAUUGACACCACAUCCACAAACAUUCAUUCCUUCCAACACCGACUAUCAAUAGCAGUAGUGUACCAUCUGCAUGAUGCACUGCAGAGACUCACCCAAGUUCUUCAGUCAGCACCUUCCAAACCCACAACCAUUUCCAUCUAGAAGUGCAGGUGCAGCAGAUACGUGGGAGCACCACCCAUUGCAAGUUUCCUUCCAACCCUCUCACCCUCUUGACUUGGAAAUAUAUUACGUCGUCUUUUGUGUUGCUGCAUCAAAAUCCUGGAAUUCCCUCCCUAACAACGUUGUGGGUCUAUGUACAGUCCAUGGGCUACAGCAAUUCAAGAAGGCAGCUCAGUGCUACGUUCUCAAAAAGCAGCUAGUGAUGGGUAAUAAAUGCUGGGCCCAGCCAGUGAUACUGACAUCCCACAAAUGAAUUAAAAAUACUAAUUUCAUAGUCUGGAAACAAUGGCAUCCUCCUGUGGGCUACACUGAGGUGUUGUAUUUGUUCAUAAUGUAAGGAAUUCAUGGAUUCAGUUAUUUUACUGCAUUUCUGAAAUUUGCUGCAUACCUAAACAACAAUGUGUUUGUGCAACAACUUAGGUUUUGCAGCAUGAAACCAACUGCACUGAAGUCAUAUGGAAUAGGUAGGUAAUCAUCCAGAUUAAAUCCAUGAAUGACAAAACGUAAGAAAUAUAAAACGUUGAUUGAA
Molecule: long non-coding RNA, 1762 nt
Organism: Hemiscyllium ocellatum (epaulette shark)
Lineage: Eukaryota; Metazoa; Chordata; Chondrichthyes; Orectolobiformes; Hemiscylliidae
Exons: 2
Source: RefSeq, a predicted model, not a curated record